This 497-nucleotide ribosomal RNA is filed under the name uncultured bacterium. RNAcentral describes it as "partial 16S ribosomal RNA". It matches the Rfam family "Bacterial small subunit ribosomal RNA", at positions 28 to 507 of the family's 1533-position model. The record is from RNAcentral.
GAUGAACGCUGGCGGCGUGCCUAAUACAUGCAAGUCGAGCGAACAGACGAGGAGCUUGCUCCUCUGACGUUAGCGGCGGACGGGUGAGUAACACGUGGAUAACCUACCUAUAAGACUGGGAUAACUACGAGAAACCGGAGCUAAUACCGGAUAAUAUAUUGAACCGCAUGGUUCAAUAGUGAAAGACGGUUUUGCUGUCACUUAUAGAUGGAUCCGCGCCGCAUUAGCUAGUUGGUAAGGUAACGGCUUACCAAGGCAACGAUGCGUAGCCGACCUGAGAGGGUGAUCGGCCCCACUGGAACUGGGCCACGGUCCAGACUCCUACGGGAGGCCGCAGUAGGGACUCUUCCGCAAUGGGCGAAAGCCUGACGCAGCAACGCCGCAUGAGUUAUGAAGGUCUUCGGAUCGUAAAACUCUGUUAUUAGGGAAGAACAAAUGUGUAAGUAACUGUGCACGUCUUGACGGUACCUAAUCAGAAAGCCACGGCUAACUACGUG